This 305-nucleotide ribosomal RNA is filed under the name uncultured bacterium. Its description in RNAcentral is "bacterial SSU rRNA". It matches the Rfam family "Bacterial small subunit ribosomal RNA", at positions 337 to 640 of the family's 1533-position model. The record is from RNAcentral.
CCCUACGGGACGCAGCAGUGAGGAAUAUUGGUCAAUGGCCGCAGGGCUGAACCAGCCAAGUCGCGUGAGGGAUGACGGUCCUAUGGAUUGUAAACCUCUUUUGUCAGGGAGCAAAGGGCGCCACGUGUGGCGUUUUGCGAGUACCUGAAGAAAAAGCAUCGGCUAACUCCGUGCCAGCAGCCGCGGUGAUACGGAGGAUGCGAGCGUUAUCCGGAUUUAUUGGGUUUAAAGGGUGCGCAGGCGGGCUAUCAAGUCAGCGGUAAAAUCGAGGGGCUCAACUCCAUCCAGCCGUUGAAACUGAUGAU